Molecule: long non-coding RNA, 586 nt
Organism: Quercus lobata
Lineage: Eukaryota; Viridiplantae; Streptophyta; Magnoliopsida; Fagales; Fagaceae
Exons: 2
Source: RefSeq, a predicted model, not a curated record
UUUGAUAUAAUCAGUAACAAAUCUUGAUCGUAAACCGAUUUACAUUAGAAAGAAGAAUUCAUAAAAUAUCACCAAACAGUUCUACGGAAAGCAAAGGACAACUCUAUUCACGAAAAGGUUAUGAUGCAUCCAAACAGAUGAACAUUCGAGUCUUCUGCAGAAGUUUCAAACCCAGAAGGGCCAAAACCCAGUGUCCCUCCCUUCAACCUCCUACUUCUUCAAACUAAAAUCUUCAAUGGAGGAACCUAGCACAGCCUUAGAAAAUCAAGUUGUGGGAUGAUGAAGGUGGUAAGGUUAAAGGAGGAGAAAUUCCAAGGUUUGAAAUUAAAGUGACCCAUGAAGCGAAACUUAAAGAACUGUUGCAUAAGAUUAAUUCUCUUGAAAUUAAGUUAUGCUUUGAUGGUGUAAAAGAGUUCAUUAAGUUGCUAAAAGGUAAUUCUGAAAGUGAAUUGCUUCAUUUAUAUGUAUGCACUUCUUUAAGUGCUUGGAGCUUCUAGAUGCUUGGAAGUUUUGAUGAAGGAAACUUGGUUGUCUUAUGUAUUGUCAUUGAUAUCUACUAUUUUGGGAUGGGGUAUAUAAUCCCAAG